GCUGGAAUAGCUCAGUUGGUUAGAGCGUGUGGCUGUUAACCACAAGGUCGGAGCCCUCCUUCUAGCG
Nicotiana attenuata is the source of this 67-nucleotide transfer RNA. It matches the Rfam family "tRNA". Rfam says of the family: Transfer RNA (tRNA) molecules are approximately 80 nucleotides in length. Their secondary structure includes four short double-helical elements and three loops (D, anti-codon, and T loops). Further hydrogen bonds mediate the characteristic L-shaped molecular structure. tRNAs have two regions of fundamental functional importance: the anti-codon, which is responsible for specific mRNA codon recognition, and the 3' end, to which the tRNAs corresponding amino acid is attached (by aminoacyl-tRNA synthetases). tRNAs cope with the degeneracy of the genetic code in two manners: having more than one tRNA (with a specific anti-codon) for a particular amino acid; and 'wobble' base-pairing, i.e. permitting non-standard base-pairing at the 3rd anti-codon position. Lineage: Eukaryota; Viridiplantae; Streptophyta; Magnoliopsida; Solanales; Solanaceae. The record is from Rfam.